GCACGAUCAAUUAUUAACUCAGUCUCCAGCCCCUCCCUUCUUCUCAGAGGAUGGGGGAUGGGGCCGAAAUCUCCAAGCUUCUAAACAUGGCUUGUUCUUUCUGAUGCCCAGCCCCCAUCUAGGAGCCCACCAAGAGGUGCCUCAUUAGAACAAAAUAUGUUCCUAUCGCCCAGGAAAUUAUAAGAGUUUUAGGAGCUCUGUAACAGGAACCAGGGGCAGAGACCAAAUAUACAUUUCCUAUCUUAUCAGUACUAUGGUUUGAAUGUGUCCCCUCCAAAAUUCAGGUGUUGCUAAUGGGAUGGUAUUAAGAGUUGGGUCUUUCAAAAUGUGAUUGGGCCACGAGGGCUCCUCCCUCAUGAAUGGGAUUAGGGCCCUUAUAAAGGAGCUUGACAGAGAGUUCACCCCUCUUGCCCUUCUGCCUUUGUCCAUGUGAGGGGACAGCCUUCCUUUCCUCCAGAGGACGCAGCAACAAGGCGCCAUCUUGGAAGUAGAGAGCAGCCCUCAGCAGACACUGAACCUGCCAAUGCCUUGACCUUGGAAUUCCCAGCCUCCAGAACUCAGAUGGACACAGAGCCCCUGCUCCAUGCCAGGCAUCGUUGAAGGCAUGAGGAUUCAGCAGCGAACAAACCUGUCCCUGCCCUCACAGAGGUGACAUUCGAGUUGGGGGAGUGAACCUGCAAACAAGUGAGCAAACUGAUGGAGAAGGCCCUGCCCUCCUCUGUUCAAAAUCGUGCAGCAGUGCGUCAUCCCACUCUGAGCAAGAGCCAAGUCUUCACACGGCCCAUGAGGCCUGCGUGAUGGCCCCAUCCCCAGCUCCACGCCCCCCAACCCAGCUCCCUGUCCCUCUGCUCCUCCUGGGCAUCCUGCUGUUCCUCAGUCAGGCCAGGCAACACAUGGGACAAAUGCCAUCCACAUCCGGACCACACCUAGGGCAGCCUGUGGACAGCCCCCAGAACUAUAGCUGAGGGUCCCACCCUUCCCACCCACGCACACUUUCUGAACACUCUGCUCCAGGCAAAGGGUACCUGAGUGCAGCAGCAGGGCCGUUGGAGCAGCUUUCUCAGGGCUGUCAGCAGUGACCCAGGGAGACCUCCCUCACAGCCUACUUCCUUGUUCCUGAGCAGAGCUAUCCAAUGGAAGUACCCAGAGCCCACACACUCCCUACAGAUUUUUAUGUUGGACAUAAAACAAUGAACAGAGACUAAUGUUGCCCUAGAUGUACCAAGCCUCCUAUAGAGAUUUGUACUGUUUCCUUUCUUGCCUUCUUCUUUCCCUCCUUCCCUCUCCCAGCCAAACAUGAAGCACCCACUAUAUGCAAACAUCAGGCUGGGGCCAGUAGGGGAAACCAUAUCUGUGAACAGGUAAUUCUCAUACGCAGCAGAAUAAGACAGGGGCUGAAUAUCGGGACACACAUCGUGCUCCCCUGUCCAGAGGCUGAUUCAUUCCAGCUGCUGAGAUCAGGGAAGGUUUCAUUCAGGCG
RNAcentral lists this long non-coding RNA (1480 nucleotides) under Homo sapiens (human). Its description in RNAcentral is "HSALNT0022272". Lineage: Eukaryota; Metazoa; Chordata; Mammalia; Primates; Hominidae. The record is from RNAcentral.